This 354-nucleotide ribosomal RNA is filed under the name uncultured Coriobacteriales bacterium. RNAcentral's name for it is "partial 16S ribosomal RNA". The record is from RNAcentral. Lineage: Bacteria; Bacillati; Actinomycetota; Coriobacteriia; Coriobacteriales.
GGAGUUUGGACCGUGUCUCAGUUCCAAUGUGGCCGAUCACCCUCUCAGGUCGGCUACUGAUCGUCGCCUUGGUGGGCCAUUACCCCGCCAACUAGCUAAUCAGACGCGAACUCACCCCGAACCGGAUUUCUCCUUUGACCCUUCGCCAUGUGACGUUGUGGUCUCAUGCGGUAUUAGCACCUGUUUCCAAGUGUUAUCCCCCUCGUCCGGGACAGAUUGUUCACGCGUUACUCACCCGUCCGCCGCUAGAAUUACCCAGCUUCCUGCCGAAGCUCUCCGCUAAGUAAUCCCCGCUCGACUUGCAUGUGUUAGGCACGCCGCCAGCGUUCGUCCUGAGCCACUGAUCAAACUACU